Molecule: long non-coding RNA, 1771 nt
Organism: Schistocerca gregaria
Lineage: Eukaryota; Metazoa; Arthropoda; Insecta; Orthoptera; Acrididae
Exons: 4
Source: RefSeq, a predicted model, not a curated record
UUAUUGGGCUGAUUUUGUGCAACUGGAAAGAAGCUGAUCUGCUGUUUGGCAUUAAUGCUGCUUGUAGCAUAACAGCGCGACAUCGGAGGUUAUCAGGCGUGGUCACAUUAAUCAGCUGACCGUCAGACGUUGUGUUGGAACCGGGGAUGGCGGCCUUUCUGUCCGCUGCAGCUUCCGCGAGUUUCUCAGUACUGAUAAACUUCUUUUCCAUUUCUGUGUGACCUUAUCUCAGCUGUGGCUGUCACCAGUCUUAUAUGGCUCGUUGGAUUUUUACGAUAUUUACACUUUUGUCGUACCAAUUAUAGUCAGUUUUCCUGACAAUCCUGGUACAUUUCAUAACGUCACUUCCAUUGUCUCCUGCGUGACGUUUGUUGUCUCCAGCGUUUUCUCGCCGUGUUGUCUGAAGUGCCUGUAUCUUCGAAGCAUUUGUACUUCUGUGUGAGCUGGCUCCUGUCGGCGUUUCAUACGUUACAGCUUAGUUUCAAACGUCCACUUUUCGCAACACGCUGCUUCCCCUUCUGUAUUCAACCACAUUUUUUAGAUUACGGCCAUUUGCGUUAAUAAUCUGUUUUACGAAGGGCGUUCGCAAGUAAAGCAAAAAGGCAAAAACUGAGGAGAAAUUUUGUUUAAGGCGAUAUUAUGACGUCCAGAGGUUGCACAAAUACACGAGACUUGUUUCGCUAUGUGUGCGGUUGCCUAAGAGACUAAGCCCAUCGUAGGUCUUUUACAUCAUUUCUGAAGAAGGCAUAUGAACAACACUUCGAUUGAAAUGUAUGUGCCAAUGGUCUCCAAUGUGCAUCUCGCGAAUAUUGACCUUAUCUUAUUUCUGAUCUUCAGAGCCAUUUAAUAUGGAGUAUUUUCAUAUAAUGUGAGCCUGUGAAAAGGUAGCAUGUAUUUCAAUUUAUGUCUAGUUUCAUAGGCAUGUGUGAAUGUAUUUCCUUCAAACAGAUGUGAGUUUUUCUGUUCGAAGAGAAAUAUUUCAUAUAUGUAGAUGGAAGGGAUUGUCAUGAUGUCCAGGCUAUCGAAUAGUGAUGAUUAAUCUAAAAGAGCUGUAUGAUUGUGACAAAAUUUGUAAAUUUCUCAAUAAUUUAUAAUGUUGUUAAUUAACAAUAGAAAGGCUAAAUAAGUUAUAUUUAAAAAAAAUUUAGAAAGUGAUGAGGUUAAUAUUACCAGAAUUUUACAAUAAUGAUACAUACUAAUUAUUAUUAUGUGUGGGGUUGUAUGCCUAUGAUUUGUUUUGUGUAGACUCAGUGGAUAACUAGACUGUAUAAUUUUAUGUUGUACAUAACUUAAGUAAAAUGGAAUGAUUAAAAAGAAGUGCCAUGCUUUUUAUAUGGGAACAAUCUAGAACUGUUCAUUCUGCACAUAAAGAUGAGUAUUUAGAGUAUAGUUAAAACUGAUAAUUUAACAUACCAUCUCCACUGUCAGAAUAUAUUGCUUUGUUAAAAGACAUAAAUCACAAAACCCGUCAUCUUAUUGUAAUGAUGUCACAUUCAUAUUUUUGGGUAAUAAGAUGGAUGGAAGUGGUAAAAACAAGGAUGACAGCAUUGUAAUAAUAUUUUUUGGAAAUAAUUAAAUUUCUCAUGCACUAUGUGUUUGGCAUAAAAUUCUUUCCAUUUUUCAUUCCGUAAAUUUUCCUUGAAUAUUGUAACAAUCAGCAUUUACAGUUCUAUGAAAGCAACUUGUUGUAUUAAAACGUAAAAUUAUAAACAUAAAAUUACCUCCUGAGUUAAUCUGUACUGCUGAGGGUGCUUUAUAGCUGUCAUUUGAG